UGGAGGACGGGAGGAGGGGAGUAGGAGGGAGCGAGUGAAAAGGGCGAGAGGAAAUGAGGGGGAGCCCGGGGCGAGAACCGAGGGGAGAUUACGGAGGAGUAGGGGGUGGAGGGGGAGAGUGAGGGGGGGGGACAGGCUAAAGGCUGCAGAGGGGAGAGGAGGCGCUGAGGGCAGGAGGGGGGGAACUUCUGCUCCUGGGGACGAGAAGGCAGGGGCGGUCCCGCGAGAAAGGGAGCGCGAUGAGUACCUGCCCGCGACCCCGUUAAUACGUAGGGUGCACGCGUUAUCCAGAAUUAUUGGGGCUAACGAGCUCGUAGCCGGUUUGUCGCGUCUGCUGUGAAAACUGGAGGCUCAACCUCCAGCCUGCAGUGGGUACGGGCAAACUAGAGUGCGGUAGGGGAGAUUGGAAUUCCUGGUGUAGCGGUGGAAUGCGCAGAUAUCAGGAGGAACACCGAUGGCGAAGGCAGAUCUCUGGGCCGUAACUGACGCUGAGGAGCGAAAGCAUGGGGAGCGAACAGGAUUAGAUACCCUGGUAGUCCAUGCCGUAAACGUUGGGCGCUAGAUGUGGGGACCAUUCCACGGUUUCCGUGUCGCAGCUAACGCAUUAAGCGCCCCGCCUGGGGAGUACGGCCGCAAGGCUAAAACUCGAAGGAAUUGACGGGG
This 663-nucleotide ribosomal RNA is filed under the name uncultured bacterium. RNAcentral describes it as "bacterial SSU rRNA". The stretch from base 136 to 663 matches the Rfam family "Bacterial small subunit ribosomal RNA", at positions 1 to 918 of the family's 1533-position model. The record is from RNAcentral.